CUUUUCUCUUGGAAAUCUGCUUGCUCACAUAUUACAGAAAUAUCUUUCAGAUCUUGGGCUGAAAGGUGGAUAACGGAUACAAUGUUUAAAUUUAGCAGUGUCAUUUAUGGCUGUUCAUAUGAGCUUUGCUGCAUAAAAUGUUGAUAUUAAUUUGUUUCCCUUUAAAACAUUCUUAAUAUUUACCUUUCAGUAUUUUCUUUGUAAUCAAUUAAUAUAAAAUGAAUAUAGUUUAUAGGUUUUACCUUUUUAAAUUUGUUUUACACAAAACACAUAACAUCUAACCCUUGUUAUUUAAAGAUCAACUAGUAGGAGGUGAUGGGAACUCAGUUUAGGAUCACCUUCUUUACACGUUAGUUCUAUUUCCGUGAGGAUAUAUUAAACUACUGGGGAAUCAAGCUACAAAAAUGCUUCUUGGGGAGAAUGUCUUUUUUUUUUUUUAAUACGAAUACUCAACCCUGAAGUUAUGUUUUUGUGGAAAGUUAUCACUUUGGAAUUUGAAUUUUCUUGGAGCUAAGCCACCGGUGGUUGUAAAAGCAACACCUGUAAAUUUGCUCCCUAGAAGAUACUUUUGUUUAGUAACUGCUUGUUUCUCUGUGGAUAAAUUCAAUUAUAAAUUACAAUCGAAUUGACUUUUUCAUAGCAUCCUUCACUCUCCAAGUAUCUUAAGUCCUCUGUGGAUUGUAAAGUAAUUACAGUGCUCAAAGGACAGUUUCAUAAUUGUGUCCAUGAGCACAGACUUUCCUCUAUGUUUGAGAAGGGCUCAUUCCCAGCCGGGAACAUUAAGUUGGAUUUUAUUGAGACUGUGGACUGCUGGUCCAGACAGCUGGGUGAUCCCCUGUGCUAUUUUGAAAAGUAUCCUGGGAUCUUUAAUUUCCACCUGGAUGGUCAGAGAGGUGAGAGAACGGCCCUCCCUGGGUGUGACCUUGUAUCCCACUUGGGGUCUUGAACCAGGGGACCCCCAACCCCAGAGGGCAUGUCACUGGUGGUAUACUUCACAGUUAUCAAAUACUGAGACUAGAUCAUGAAGGAACUAGAGGAUGAAUGGACAUUACCCCCGGUUGCUGGUCUUGGAUAUAGAUGCUGUAACCGUCAUCCUUCAGGUUGUCCAACUUCUGGAGUGAGUAUGAUUUUUAUUUUAUGUUGAAGAAUUGCACUGUGUUAAGUAGGAAGUGGUUUUGAUCCUUCAAAAUUAAAUUUUGCUAGGAAGAGCAAAAUUGAUGUAAGAAAGCCAGAGAACUGGACUCUAAGAGACAGUAUUUUUAUCCACUCAAUGUCUGCAAGCCCUUUCUACCUUUGGGAGAUUCUCUGCUAUAUCAGUCAAGGUGGGAGGCAGCAAUCCCCUCCAGCUAUAUAAAUGGAAGUGACAGAGUUUGUUUUCCCAGCCUCUCUUUCAUGGAGGGUGGUGUGCUGUCAUAUGACUUUGGCUCUGCCAGUCAGACACGUCCAUGUCAUGCAUUGAUUCAGGAAUGAGUGAUGCAAGGAAGGAGAGGCUUUCUUGGGAUUUAUUUUGGUAAGAAUGUCAACUGCUGCAGUAGUUAAAUCAUUUCCAGAAGCAGCAUCUGUAGCUUUUACAUCAGUGCAGGUGGUGUGGUCCUAUACUGAAUGAGAUGUUCUGUGGUUUGAGUAUCUAUUUACCUUGUAGCCUCUUAUUAUUGCUCCUCAGACCAUGAAAACCUUUUGAUAGCUUUGUUCAUUUAUUUGCUUAAAUUAGAGGAAAUUGGUUUGUUUUGCUUGCAACUAAGAACCUGUUUCAUAGAUACCAACAGGCAGCUCUUGAUAGUCCUCUGCUAUAUUAUAGUAGGAAACUAGCGUUACUGCUACAGAGAAUUCAUUUCUGUGUUGAUUAAUUGUCAUGUGUGUGUGUGUGUUUUUUUUUUUUACCAAGUAAGUUAGCAAACAAUUCUCAAGAAAAAGCACAGAACUUUCUUGUUACGUUGGAAGUUAAAAAUCCAGGUCCCUAGCGUCCAUCUCACAUUUGGCUAUUGGCUUUAUUUUUAAUGCCAGUGUUUUCAAAGUAGGAGA
Molecule: long non-coding RNA, 2022 nt
Organism: Callithrix jacchus (white-tufted-ear marmoset)
Lineage: Eukaryota; Metazoa; Chordata; Mammalia; Primates; Cebidae
Source: Ensembl